RNAcentral lists this long non-coding RNA (1203 nucleotides) under Triticum aestivum (bread wheat). Its description in RNAcentral is "long non-coding RNA (TAES_LNC016903)". Lineage: Eukaryota; Viridiplantae; Streptophyta; Magnoliopsida; Poales; Poaceae. The record is from RNAcentral.
CUCAUUCUAGCCUCCUGGGGUUGAAAUGAUUACUCCUUUAAUUGAUUUGAAGAUUGUUAAUUUUUUAUAUUUGGAAACGCUUGGAAGCUUUCCUUUGUUUUGGCGUUAUGAAGAUCUUAUGCUGCAGGGAGAUUUCACCGAUGCCACAAAGAUGCUGCUGCAUCGAACGCAUAGGAUAAGAUGAUAUUAGUAAGUAUCUAUCAUCUACAUUUUGCUUUUGUCUUCAAUUUUGUAGGAUUUCUUUUCUUUCAACAACGUUUUAGAAAUAUAAAUACUUUCUUAUAUGUUUAUCCAGCCAUCCACAUUUAACUAGGUUGCAAAGAACAUUGAAGUGAUAACUGCAUGUGUAAGUACCAUGGAUGAGCUAGCAAAACAUACAUUUUUAUGCUAGAGUGCAUAUGGAUUAGGUAUGUGUAUUUGUUGGCAAUGUUCAUGUGUGAGAAAGCAAGGUCCAUAAGAUAUCUAGGGGAUUAGAGGUGGUAUGAUUUAAAGAUAAAGCAUCGUCUUGAGUGCUUUUUUUCAUGUGGUUGCUGCAUGGGCUUCAAAUAAUUUACUUGGGACUUCAUUCAGAAGUACAACUGGUAAUCCGAGAUCAAUACUGAGAUCAGACAUCAGAUACAAUAUAAUUUUUUUUGUACAAACAAAAUCUAUGAUAUCGUGCCAUUCUAUGAGUGUUUAGAAAUAAGUUUGGUAUCUGCUACAAUGUACAUAUAACUUGGUCAUCCUAAAGAAACUUUAUCUUGCAUAUUGCUUGGUUACAAGAUAAGAACUAAUAUGUAUUACAAAUAUCUAGGGAAAUCUUUUGAUUUUUUUGUACAUAUAUUAUCAGAGAUGCCAAAUAGCAGGUUGCUUCAAACCAGGGGAACUGACUGGUUCAUAGAUGGUAGAACGUUCAAUCUUCGACGAUGCUCAGGGAGCAAACAAGGGGAAUUAGGUUAGUACGUCUUUAAAAUAGCACCCAAGGGUGCACUCAAUAAUUCCAGUUUUUCAACUUGUACUGUUAUUGUUGAUACACAUUGUUUUGUGCAUACUUGCUAGGGAAAAGUAUAUUUUUCAUCCCUGGACUCGCUCAAAAGUAUAGAAAUGAUCCUUCAACUUUAAAACCGGCAAAUGUUAGUCCCUCAACUUCUCAAACCGGAUUAUUUUAGUCCCUUGACUCAACAAAGCUGUUUUCAUGCUUACUUGGCAUGGUUUUGACCAGUC